Molecule: ribosomal RNA, 253 nt
Filed under: uncultured bacterium
Lineage: Bacteria
Description: partial 16S ribosomal RNA
Rfam family: Bacterial small subunit ribosomal RNA
Source: RNAcentral
UACGUAGGGUGCGAGCGUUAAUCGGAAUUACUGGGCGUAAAGCGUGCGCAGGCGGCUUUGCAAGACAGAUGUGAAAUCCCCGGGCUCAACCUGGGAACUGCAUUUGUGACUGCAAGGCUAGAGUACGGCAGAGGGGGAUGGAAUUCCGCGUGUAGCAGUGAAAUGCGUAGAUAUGCGGAGGAACACCAAUGGCGAAGGCAAUCCCCUGGGCCUGUUCUGACGCUCAUGCACGAAAGCGUGGGGAGCAAACAGG